Molecule: ribosomal RNA, 253 nt
Filed under: uncultured bacterium
Lineage: Bacteria
Description: partial 16S ribosomal RNA
Rfam family: Bacterial small subunit ribosomal RNA
Source: RNAcentral
UACAGAGGUCUCAAGCGUUGUUCGGAUUCAUUGGGCGUAAAGGGUGUGUAGGUGGCGCCGUAAGUCGGGUGUGAAAUUUCGGAGCUUAACUCCGAAACUGCAUUCGAUACUGCGGUGCUUGAGGACUGGAGAGGAGACUGGAAUUCAUGGUGUAGCAGUAAAAUGCGUAGAGAUCAUGAGGAAGACCAGUGGCGAAGGCGGGUCUCUGGACAGUUCCUGACACUGAGACACGAAGGCCAGGGGAGCAAACGGG